GCAUCGAUGAAGAACGCAGCCAGUUGCGAUAAGUAGUGUGAAUUGCAGAAUUCAGUGAAUCAUCGAAUCUUUGAACGCAAAUUGCGCUUUCUGGAUAUCCAGGGAGCAUGCCUGUCUGAGCGUCGUUUAAUAAUCUACACACCUUGGUGUGGGUAGGGAGCUCAUGCAAUCUUGGUUGCCUGCCUCCUGAUGUAUCUGAACCUGCAGAACACUGACUCUGUGUACUGCUUGGAAGGCUCAACUUGCUUCUGUCCUUCUAAAGUAAGUACCGUUUGCGUUUUGUAUGGUUUUCUGAAUUCCCUGAAUUCAAAUUCUGAUUUUUGACCUCAGAUCAGACAAGACUACCCGCUGAAUUUAAGCAUAUCAAUAAGCGGAGGA
Molecule: ribosomal RNA, 378 nt
Filed under: uncultured fungus
Lineage: Eukaryota; Fungi
Description: eukaryotic LSU rRNA
Rfam family: 5.8S ribosomal RNA (bases 1-125)
Source: RNAcentral